GACGAACGCUGGCGGCGUGCUUAACACAUGCAAGUCGAACGGAAAGGCCCUGCUCUUGUGGGGUGCUCGAGUGGCGAACGGGUGAGUAACACGUGAGUAACCUGCCCUUGACUUUGGGAUAACUUCAGGAAACUGGGGCUAAUACCGGAUAGGAGCUCCUGCUGCAUGGUGGGGGUUGGAAAGUUUCGGCGGUUGGGGAUGGACUCGCAGCUUAUCAGCUGGUUGGUGGGGUAGUGGCUUACCAAGGCUUUGACGGGUAGCCGGCCUGAGAGGGUGACCGGCCACAUGGGGACUGAGAUACGGCCCAGACGCCUACGGGAGGCAGCAGUGGGGAAUAUUGCACAAUGGGCGGAAGCCUGAUGCAGCAACGCCGCGUGCGGGAUGACGGCCUACGAGUUGUAAACCGCUUUCGCCUGUGACGAAGCGUGAGUGACGGUAAUGGGUAAAGAAGCACCGGCUAACUACGUG
Molecule: ribosomal RNA, 468 nt
Filed under: uncultured bacterium
Lineage: Bacteria
Description: partial 16S ribosomal RNA
Rfam family: Bacterial small subunit ribosomal RNA
Source: RNAcentral